Molecule: transfer RNA, 72 nt
Filed under: Candidatus Doriopsillibacter californiensis
Lineage: Bacteria; Pseudomonadati; Pseudomonadota; Gammaproteobacteria; Candidatus Tethybacterales; Candidatus Persebacteraceae
Also listed under: 1 other name
Description: tRNA-Gln
Rfam family: tRNA
About the family: Transfer RNA (tRNA) molecules are approximately 80 nucleotides in length. Their secondary structure includes four short double-helical elements and three loops (D, anti-codon, and T loops). Further hydrogen bonds mediate the characteristic L-shaped molecular structure. tRNAs have two regions of fundamental functional importance: the anti-codon, which is responsible for specific mRNA codon recognition, and the 3' end, to which the tRNAs corresponding amino acid is attached (by aminoacyl-tRNA synthetases). tRNAs cope with the degeneracy of the genetic code in two manners: having more than one tRNA (with a specific anti-codon) for a particular amino acid; and 'wobble' base-pairing, i.e. permitting non-standard base-pairing at the 3rd anti-codon position.
Source: RNAcentral
UGGGGAGUAGCCAAGUGGUAAGGCAGCGGGUUUUGAUCCCGUCAUGCGUAGGUUCGAACCCUACCUCCCCAG